UACGUAGGGCGCAAGCGUUGUCCGGAAUUAUUGGGCGUAAAGAGCUCGUAGGCGGUUUGUCGCGUCGGGUGUGAAAGCUCAGGGCUCAACCCUGAGUCUGCAUCCGAUACGGGCAGACUAGAGGCAGGUAGGGGAGAACGGAAUUCCUGGUGUAGCGGUGAAAUGCGCAGAUAUCAGGAGGAACACCGGUGGCGAAGGCGGUUCUCUGGGCCUGUACUGACGCUGAGGAGCGAAAGCGUGGGGAGCGAACAGG
Molecule: ribosomal RNA, 253 nt
Filed under: uncultured bacterium
Lineage: Bacteria
Description: partial 16S ribosomal RNA
Rfam family: Bacterial small subunit ribosomal RNA
Source: RNAcentral